CAGUAGCCACGGUAAUACGAAGGUCCCAAGCGUUGUUCGGAAUCACUGGGCGUAAAGGGAGCGUAGGCGGCGUGGUAAGUCAGAUGUGAAAUCCCGGGGCUCAACCCCGGAACUGCAUCCGAUACUGCCAUGCUUGAGGGUUGGAGAGGUAGCUGGAAUUCUCGGUGUAGCAGUGAAAUGCGUGGAUAUCGAGAGGAACACUCGUGGCGAAGGCGAGCUACUGGACAACAUCUGACGCUGAGGCUCGAAGGCUAGGGUAGCGAAAGGGAUUAGAGACCCCCGUAGUCCCUGUCUCUUAUAC
RNAcentral lists this ribosomal RNA (301 nucleotides) under uncultured bacterium. RNAcentral's name for it is "partial 16S ribosomal RNA". It matches the Rfam family "Bacterial small subunit ribosomal RNA", at positions 509 to 807 of the family's 1533-position model. The record is from RNAcentral.